AACCCAUCAUUCAAAAUAUCAUAACCAACAAUCUAAAAGUUAAACAUCAAAUUAAUUUUUUCAUCACGAAAAUCAAAACCAAAUCCAAACCUAUCUGAAAUAGAAACAUAAAUCAUAUUCCUUCUAAAUGAUGGUAUAUCAAGGGUAUUCUCCAAGAAAAUUUCAAAAUUAGACAUUAAAGAUAAUUUGACAACUCCUAUAUAUUCUACUUCAACUUCA
Molecule: long non-coding RNA, 219 nt
Filed under: Elaeis guineensis (African oil palm)
Lineage: Eukaryota; Viridiplantae; Streptophyta; Magnoliopsida; Arecales; Arecaceae
Description: long non-coding RNA (EGUI_LNC004281)
Source: RNAcentral